This 497-nucleotide ribosomal RNA is filed under the name uncultured bacterium. RNAcentral describes it as "partial 16S ribosomal RNA". It matches the Rfam family "Bacterial small subunit ribosomal RNA", at positions 28 to 507 of the family's 1533-position model. The record is from RNAcentral.
GAUGAACGCUGGCGGCGUGCCUAAUACAUGCAAGUCGAGCGAACAGACGAGGAGCUUGCUCCUCUGACGUUAGCGGCGGACGGGUGAGUAACACGUGGAUAACCUACCUAUAAGACUGGGUUAACUUCGGGAAACCGGAGCUAAUACCGGAUAAUAUAUUGAACCGCAUGGUUCAAUAGUGAAAGACGGUUUUGCUGUCACUUAUAGAUGGAUCCGCGCCGCAUUAGCUAGUUGGUAAGGUAACGGCUUACCAAGGCAACGAUGCGUAGCCGACCUGAGAGGGUGAUCGGCCACACUGGAACUGAGACACGGUCCAGACUCCUACGGGAGGCAGCAGUAGGGAAUCUUCCGCAAUGGGCGAAAGCCUGACGGAGCAACGCCGCGUGAGUGAUCAAGGUCUUCGGAUCGUAAAACUCUGUUAUUAGGGAAGAACAAAUGUGUAAGUAACUAUGCACGUCUUGACGGUACCUAAUCAGAAAGCCACGGCUAACUACGUG